RNAcentral lists this ribosomal RNA (949 nucleotides) under uncultured euryarchaeote. RNAcentral describes it as "bacterial SSU rRNA". It matches the Rfam family "Archaeal small subunit ribosomal RNA", at positions 380 to 1332 of the family's 1478-position model. Lineage: Archaea; Methanobacteriati; Methanobacteriota. The record is from RNAcentral.
CCUAAGUGCUUACGCAAUAGCGUAGGCUUUUGCCGAAUGUAAAUAAUUCGGAGAAUAAGUGGUGGGUAAGACUGGUGCCAGCCGCCGCGGUAACCCCAGCGCCACAAGUGGGGAUCGGUUUUAUUUGGUCUAAAGCGUUCGUAGCAGGUCUUGUAAAUUUUUUGUGAAUUUGUUGCGCUUAACGCAACAGACUGCAGAAAAGACUGCAAGACUAGGAACUGGGAGGAGUAAGCGGUAUUCUCGGGGGAGCGGUAAAAUGUUAUAAUCCCGAGAGGACCACCUGUGCCGAAGGGGGCUUACUAGAACAGAUUCGACUGUGAGGGACGAAAGCUAGGGGAGCGAAACGGAUUAGAUACCCGUGUAGUCCUAGCCGUAAACACUGUGUGCUAGAUAUGGCAUAAACUUAGAGUUUGUGCUGUAUCGCAACGAAGGUGCAAGCACACCACCUGGGAAGUAUAGUCGCAAGGCUGAAACUUAAAGGAAUUGGCGGGGGAGCACUACAAGGGGCGCGGCGUGCGGUUUAAUUGAAUUCAACGCCGGAAAUCUCACCAGGAGCGACGGCAGGAAGAAGGCCAGUCUAAAGGGCUUGCCUGACGAGCCGAGAGGUAUUGCAUGGCCGCCGUCAGCUCGUGCCGUAAGGUGUCCUCUUAAGUGAGGUAACGAGCGAGACCUGUGUUUCCAAUUGAUAACGACACGUCAGUGGAUUGAUCACAUCGGAGAGACUGCCUGGGAAACCAGGAGGAAGGUGCAGGCAACGGUAGGUCCGUAUGGUCCGGAUCCCCUGGGCUACACGCGCGCAACAAUGGCCGGAACAAUGGGAUGCAACUCCGAAAGGAGAAGCUAAGCCUCUAAAUCCGGUCUUAGUACAGAUUGAGGUUUGUAACUCAACCUCAUGACGUCGGAAUCCCUAGUAAUUGGACUUUAGCAUAGUCCAGUGAACAUGUCCCUG